GGGCGAGUAUGGGACAAAAAGAAGAAGCUGCACAGCGUCGUCAGGUGUUUCAAGGAUUCCAGGUUGACGAAGAACUCAUGAAAAUAGCUGGACGGAAGGCUUAUUUUAUGCACUGUUUGCCUGCAGAAAGGGGAGUUGAAGUCACUAAUGGCGUGGUUGAAGCACCAAACUCAAUUGUAUUUCCCCAAGCUGAAAACCGGAUGCACGCACAAAAUGCAAUCAUGCUUCAUGUAAUGGGCUUGUAAUUGCAUUGUCUGUUCUAAUACUGAGAUUGUUCCUAGACACAGUAUUUUGUUUGGUACAUUAUGUCUGUUUAUAGAACUCCAGCGAUCUCC
Molecule: unclassified non-coding RNA, 335 nt
Filed under: Hevea brasiliensis (rubber tree)
Lineage: Eukaryota; Viridiplantae; Streptophyta; Magnoliopsida; Malpighiales; Euphorbiaceae
Source: RNAcentral